This 347-nucleotide unclassified non-coding RNA is filed under the name soil metagenome. RNAcentral's name for it is "partial contains 5.8S ribosomal RNA, internal transcribed spacer 2, and large subunit ribosomal RNA". The stretch from base 1 to 120 matches the Rfam family "5.8S ribosomal RNA", at positions 35 to 154 of the family's 154-position model. The record is from RNAcentral.
GAUGAAGAACGCAGCGAAAUGCGAUAAUUUAUGUGAAUUGCAGAAUUCCGUGAAUCAUCGAGUCUUUGAACGCACAUUGCGCCCCCUGGUAUUCCGGGGGGCAUGCCUGUCCGAGCGUCAUUGCUGCCCUCAAGCACGGCUUGUGUGUUGGGCCCCCGUCCCCCCCUCCCGGGGGACGGGCCCGAAAGGCAGCGGCGGCACCGCGUCCGGUCCUCGAGCGUAUGGGGCUUUGUCACCCGCUCUGUAGGCCCGGCCGGCGCCUGCCGACCACCAUCAAUCUUUUUUCAGGUUGACCUCGGAUCAGGUAGGGAUACCCGCUGAACUUAAGCAUAUCAAUAAGCGGAGGA